This 3324-nucleotide long non-coding RNA is filed under the name Olea europaea (common olive). RNAcentral describes it as "long non-coding RNA (OEUR_LNC006772)". The record is from RNAcentral. Lineage: Eukaryota; Viridiplantae; Streptophyta; Magnoliopsida; Lamiales; Oleaceae.
UAUUUGUGAGUGAUUUUGAGAAUUAAUUUUUUGACCGUUAAGAAAAAAAUGGGGUCCAACUGUGAGAGAAGAAGUCAAAUAUGACGGCUGGAAUAGUGAAAUAACGGUCAAAAAAUCAAUUAUUUUGGUGAAAAAAUCACUCCCAAACAGGCCCUUAAAAUUUUUUAAAUUAAAAUUAAAGUUCAAAACAAUGUUACAAUUAUUCAUCCUAACUAAAUACUUAAUUACACAUCAUGGGAGACUAAAAAUAUAAGAAGGAAUUAAAUUACAUUACUAGGUAUUAAAAAGAAAUGAGAAAAAGAUGAAGAUCUUACACUAAGAAUCCGUCUCUUCUUGUGAAAUCCUUGAAACCUAGCUCCUUCAUUGAUUUUUGGAUUUUUCCCUCUCCUUUUGGCUUGCAUAAUAUAUCUACAAUGAAUCCCCAAUCCUUGGCUUGAAUCUAUGUAUAUAAUAAAACUCUACAAACGCUCUUUAAUUGUUGGACUAAGGUAUGUAAUUAUAGAAAAAUUUAGGGAAAAUCCUGUUCUACUUGAAUUCCACAAAAGAGUUCAAAUUUAUUUUUACCAAAGAAUUCAAAUUGCUCUCUACCAAAGAGUUUAAGAAAUAAAAAAAAUAAAAAUAGUUCAUUUUUUUAAUGAACUCCUUUUCUCAUGUGAUUUUAGCCCCUAUUUGAGUCCCAUUAUUUCUUAUUACAUUAAAUCAAAUUUCUCUCUCCUACUUUUAACCACAUAAUCUUCAAUAAAAUAAUAUUACACAUAAAUUAAAAACUUUUCAACCAUUCAUUUUUCAAAAAAAAAAAUUACUAUUCAUCUCAUUAUAAUAUAUAAAUAAUGGGACUCAAACAGGGGCUUAGUUAUUCAUCUUCUAAUUUUGACCUUGAUUCCUUCUCAAUCCAGAGUAAUUAAUAAUUGACCCAAAACAAGUUUUAGAAUUUGCAAUUUAGUCACCAAACUUUCCAAUUAUAGAAUUUAACUCUAAAAACUUAUGAAUUUUUAUUGAAUGCUCCAUUAAUACUUUCAAUUAAGCCUGAAUAAGCACAUAAAAUGCAGUUAUCAAAUAUUCCCAAAUUUAAACUCUUGCUCGUAUCGAGCAUGACUAUAUAUUAAAAAUAUAAGCAAACAAAUAAAAUAUAAUUGUGUUAGAUAAUUUUCCAAAACUCGAAUCAAGCAUUAAAAUCGUUUGAUACUUCACAAAAAUUUCAUAAGUAACGCAACUAAAACUAACUCUUUACUCAUUCAAUGCUUGAUCCAUGUGUUGUGCAUAGUCAAUCAAAUCAUCAUAAAAUUUCCAGUUAGUUAUAUCCCAGUUCUUAAUGGUCAAAUAUUUCCUUUCUCUCUUGUAGGAUGCACGCCCUCAAACUUGUUUUCCAAUCACAUUUUUGAAGUUUUUAUUCUAAAGUUAAUUGCACAACACUCUUUUCCUUUCCCGCUAAAAUUUGCUAGAUUUCAAUGAAAGUUAUUGUCUUACUAUGUGAUGAUUCUCCUUAAGUUUGAAUGUCUCAACCUCCAAACUUCAACUAGGAUAAUAUCCCUUACCAAAAGUCUAAAUUCCAAAUUAAAUAUUCAAGGCUUAACCGGACAAAAGCGGUUCUUACAGUUGUUUUGCCAUUGCCUCAACAAUUUUUUUUUUAUUUUUUUAUUUUUUUUUAUUUUUAUUUUUUGUUUUUGGGGAUCUUUUUUAUUUUCUAAUAUAGUUUUCAUUUGCAGGUAGCGUUCUUGUCAAUAUAUCGUCUUCUAAAGAUUGGUGAUGAAUAAGACCAUAUUACUCAAGAUUAUCUUCACAAAACAAUGUAGGUAACUUUUUCCUAUUUACCUGGCUAGUGUAAUGCCUUUUAUUUUUUUGGAUAAAUAAUUGAAAUCGAACCCCUUGUAAAUGGUUACUACCUAGACUCUACUUGUUAGCCAAAAACAUUCCACAUAAAUAUUCAACAUGCAUCGGAUCAAUACAUAUCUAAAUAGCUUCUAACAAUGGGUUAAUCACCCCCAAAAUAUUCCUUUCAAUUGGUUAAGUAGUUGUGCUUUUAAUCAUGAUCUCGAUUUAUAAAGACGUAAAUUCAUUCAACAUAUCCUAUCAACCAAUCCAAAAAUACAUAAUAAUUAUCAUGACUAUUGUGAUCAAUAUAAUACAAUAUAACAUGAAAAAAUAUAGAAUUAGCAAAAAAAGGGCAUAAAAUAUUCACAAUUUAUGAAACAUAAACAAUUUCAAUUAGUCGGCAAAGCUAUCCAACUCUUAAAAAUGCACAUAAUAUAAGAAAAUUUAUGAUUUUAAAAAAAAAAAUUUCAAAAUUUUCAAAUUUUUUUUUUUUUUAAAUAUCACACAAACAAGCAAAUAUAAACUUACAAACUAAUCGACACCGCCAAACUUGAAAUACACAUUGUCCUCAAUAUGUGCAAAAAGUAGGCUUAAAGAAGAGAUUAGCAAUACUCGCCGUAUAUUUGAUGUUUCGUGUUUAACACUUGGUCUUCGAUCUUCCUUCAAUAUCUUUUCUUGCUCAUUUUGUAAGAUUUUUUUAUUGUACCUGAUAACAAACAAGAAAAAAUAAUUAUCAAUAAAUUCACAUGCGAAUUUAUGCUAAUUUUUAGGCAUGAUGAUUAUAAGCUAGUUUUGACCUAAAAAAUAUAGAAUAGAAAAUAAAUAUAAAAAAUAAAUAAGAAUAAAUGGAAACACAACAGGGGAUGCAGUCCAGCAAUAGGGAGGACACAGUUGGAACACAACAGGAUGCAACAGGGAACGUAGGGGGACGCAACAGGUGACCUAGCUUGGAAUGCAGGGGGACGCAUGCCCAACGCUACAUUUGCAUCAAAAGCUCCCUAAUUACAAUGCAAGUGACAAUUUUUUCACAAAACUGUGAUGUAUAUUAAUGCAAGAAUGUGAAGAACGAAUUUGGUGCUAAAAUAUCAAAUUUUCAUUCCUUGAAGAAUUUCAUCAAACAUUACAUGUUCAAAGAAAUAACCCUUUGAUUUGUAUGAAAUGUGAAGUGUUAUGAUCCAAAUUUUUGCACACAAUCACAACCCAUAUCCUCCAACAUCUAUUCCUAUUCCCAAACUCCGCCAUCUACUAAAAAAUAGAACCAAAAAUUCGAACUUCCAAGCACCCAAUUUGUAAUGUCAAAAUCAGGUUUUUUAGAGAAAAAAUAUUGGGAUUUAAAAAUUUUUGGCACUAGAAGAUGUAAUUCAACUCCCAAAAACUAUCCUAAUCAACCCCAUAAUUCAAACAAUUUAUAAAAAAAUUGGAAUCCCAAUUUUAAUUUUUUUUUUUUUUGAAAAAAAAAAUAUAGUUCUAACGAGCCUUUGGUUUUGAUGAAUUGAAGAAAUUUUGAUGAUC